GUUGGCUGACGCGGGCAUCUUUUCCCUCAGCAGACUAUAGAUAUACCUUGAAGUGAUGCUCUCUGGCUGUUAAUGAGAGAAAAAGCGAGUGCUUUGCUGAAGAGGCUCUCUGAAGAGGAAACACGAGGGAUAGAGUUGUUCCUGUGGUGGUGAUGCCAUAGCCCCAGCCACAUGCCUCAUCUGAGCUGAAUGCAGAUGCUGUUUCACUGGGACAACCGUUGCCUAAAGCUGCACUGAGGACUCGGACCUGAGAAGUGGCUGAAAACCAUGCUCCUGAGGCAGGUGGAAGGAGAGUGUCAGCAGUGAUUUCAUCGGGAGAAGCAGCUUGUUAGGCACAGACAUCAGCUGUAAGUGGAAAUUUCAGGAGAGACCUUUUGUGGUAUAAAUGAUUCUAAAGUUCAUUGGUUACAUAACGUUUAUGUACUACAGCAAAUGACAUUGUCAUCAGCCUCCUCUGGUUUUAAGGAGGGUUGUGGGGAAGAAUUUCAAGAAAAAGGAGUUUUUGUAGACUUUGUCAACAGUGCUCUGAAUUUGCUUUGUGCUGGCUGAUAUGGAGCUGCAGUGUGUCUCAGCUGCAGGGGAUGUGCUGACCUUUAAUGCCCAUUUUCAGUCCUCAUUACAUCCUGAAAGGAUGGCUCCAUCCAUGCCCUGGGUUUUGCCCUGGCUGGUACCCUAUAGAUGAUGCCUGCUCUUACAGCACAUGAACCAGCUCAAGGAAGCCCCAAGUUCAACUGCUGCCAUUCCAGUCCAGAAGAUCCUAGACUUUGUGUUUUCAGUAGAAGAUACAGUUUGCUCCACCCGGUCUAACAGAAGUGCACUUCAGUAC
RNAcentral lists this long non-coding RNA (826 nucleotides) under Gallus gallus (chicken). Lineage: Eukaryota; Metazoa; Chordata; Aves; Galliformes; Phasianidae. The record is from RNAcentral.